This 429-nucleotide long non-coding RNA is filed under the name Brassica napus (rape). RNAcentral describes it as "long non-coding RNA (BNAP_LNC020906)". The record is from RNAcentral. Lineage: Eukaryota; Viridiplantae; Streptophyta; Magnoliopsida; Brassicales; Brassicaceae.
CCCAACCCACAACAGUUCCAGCUGAGGACGACUAAGGAGCCGGGGUUGGAGGAAACCGAAAAUCAUGUUUCCUCUUGUUCAUCGCGGGUAUCAAUUGGAUUGGGGGAUUUCUGUUAGCCUGCGUUGGAGUAGGGUUUCUACCAGCAUCCGUCGUCUCUCUUCUAACAAGGCUUCCCACCGCUAUUCUCCUGCUAAUCCUAGGUGAGUUCUGAAUCUGAGAGAGUUUCCUCUUCUUUGAACUUGCUCCUCUUAGGAUAUUAGGGGAUCGUCUUUGGAUUCUUUUGUUGGAUCUGUUUGUUACCCUUCUUCUCUGUUUGUUUUGAAAUUCCGUGAGGGUCUCAUUCUCCUGUAUAUUUGCCUCUCCUUCUUUUGGACUCUGCAUCCUCUGUGAAUCAAGAUUUUCUUUUUCCUUUGCUUGUUCCGGACUCA